CAGGACGAACGCUGGCGGCGUGCCUAAUACAUGCAAGUCGGACGGUCUUUCUAUGGAAGCUUGCUUCCACUGAGAAGAUAGUGGCGAACGGGUGAGUAACACGUGGGUAACCUGCCCAUAAGAGGGGGGAUAACAUCCGGAAACGGGUGCUAAUACCGCAUAGUUUUCUUGAUUGCAUGAUUGAGAAAGGAAAGACGGCCUUUGUGCUGUCGCUUAUGGAUGGACCCGCGGCGUAUUAGUUAGUUGGUGAGGUAACGGCUCACCAAGACGAUGAUACGUAGCCGACCUGAGAGGGUGAUUGGCCACAUUGGGACUGAGACACGGCCCAAACUCCUACGGGAGGCAGCAGUAGGGAAUCUUCCGCAAUGGACGAAAGUCUGACGGAGCAACGCCGCGUGAGUGAAAGAAGGUUUUCGGAUCGUAAAACUCUGUUGUCAGAGAAGAACAAGUUGGAGAGUAACUGCUCCAGCCUUGACGGUAUCUGACCAGAAAGCCACGGCUAACUACGUGCCAGCCGCCGC
This 521-nucleotide ribosomal RNA is filed under the name uncultured bacterium. RNAcentral's name for it is "bacterial SSU rRNA". It matches the Rfam family "Bacterial small subunit ribosomal RNA", at positions 25 to 518 of the family's 1533-position model. The record is from RNAcentral.